AUUGAACGCUGGCGGCAGGCCUAACACAUGCAAGUCGAACGGUAACAGGGAUCAGCUUGCUGAUUCGCUGACGAGUGGCGGACGGGUGAGUAAUGUCUGGGAAACUGCCUGAUGGAGGGGGAUAACUACUGGAAACGGUAGCUAAUACCGCAUAACGUCGCAAGACCAAAGAGGGGGACCUUCGGGCCUCUUGCCAUCGGAUGUGCCCAGAUGGGAUUAGCUAGUAGGUGGGGUAACGGCUCACCUAGGCGACGAUCCCUAGCUGGUCUGAGAGGAUGACGGGCCACACGGAAACGGGGACCGGGCCCAGACCCCAGGGGAGGGCAGGGGGGGGGAAUUUUGCAAAAGGGGGGCAAGCGUAAGGCAGCCAGGCCGGGGGGUUGAAAAAGGCCUUGGGGUUGUAAAGUAUUUUCGGGGGGGGGGAGGGGAGUAAAGUUAAAACCUUUGCUCAUUGACUUUACCCGCAAAAGAAGCCCCGGCUAACUCCGU
RNAcentral lists this ribosomal RNA (489 nucleotides) under uncultured bacterium. RNAcentral's name for it is "partial 16S ribosomal RNA". It matches the Rfam family "Bacterial small subunit ribosomal RNA", at positions 29 to 506 of the family's 1533-position model. The record is from RNAcentral.